Molecule: ribosomal RNA, 301 nt
Filed under: uncultured bacterium
Lineage: Bacteria
Description: partial 16S ribosomal RNA
Rfam family: Bacterial small subunit ribosomal RNA
Source: RNAcentral
CAGUCGCCACGGGAACACGGAGGGUGCAAGUGUUAAUCGGAAUUACUGGGCGUAAAGCGCACGCAGGCGGUCUGACAAGUCAGAUGUGAAAUCCCCGGGCUUAACCUGGGAACUGCAUUUGAAACUGUCAGGCUGGAGUCUUGUAGAGGGGGGUAGAAUUCCAGGUGUAGCGGUGAAAUGCGUAGAGAUCUGGAGGAAUACAGGUGGCGAAGGCGGCCCCCUGGACAAAGACUGACGCUCAGGUGCGAAAGCGUGGGGAGCAAACAGGAUUAGAGACCCCUGUAGUCCCUGUCUCUUAUAC